This 496-nucleotide ribosomal RNA is filed under the name uncultured bacterium. RNAcentral describes it as "partial 16S ribosomal RNA". It matches the Rfam family "Bacterial small subunit ribosomal RNA", at positions 29 to 507 of the family's 1533-position model. The record is from RNAcentral.
AUGAACGCUGGCGGCGUGCCUAAUACAUGCAAGUCGAGCGAACAGACGAGGAGCUUGCUCCUCUGACGUUAGCGGCGGACGGGUGAGUAACACGUGGAUAACCUACCUAUAAGACUGGGAUAACUUCGGGAAACCGGAGCUAAUACCGGAUAAUAUAUUGAACCGCAUGGUUCAAUAGUGAAAGACGGUUUUGCUGUCACUUAUAGAUGGAUCCGCGCCGCAUUAGCUAGUUGGUAAGGUAACGGCUUACCAAGGCAACGAUGCGUAGCCGACCUGAGAGGGUGAUCGGCCACACUGGAACUGAGACACGGUCCAGACUCCUACGGUAGGCAGCAGUAGGGAAUCUUCCGCAAUGGGCGAAAGCUUGACGGAGCAACGCCGCGUGAGUGAUGAAGGUCUUCGGAUCGUAAAACUCUGUUAUUAGGGAAGAACAAAUGUGUAAGUAACUAUGCACGUCUUGACGGUACCUAAUCAGAAAGCCACGGCUAACUACGUG